AGGUUUUCAAUUUCAAAUUGAUUUCAAUACAAUUUCAAAAUUGAGUGGCAAUUUUGUAGUUAGAAUAAAUUGAAGGUUUAUUUAUAAGCUAUACAUUUUUUUUUUCUUUUUCUUUAACUUCUUAUUUUUCUAUUUUAUUUUAAUUUUUAAAUUUUGAAAUUCGACUAAUUAUAAAAUAUUUGAUAUGCAUAUCAAAUUAAAGAUCAUGACAAGAACUUUAAUUUGAU
Molecule: long non-coding RNA, 227 nt
Filed under: Salvia miltiorrhiza (redroot sage)
Lineage: Eukaryota; Viridiplantae; Streptophyta; Magnoliopsida; Lamiales; Lamiaceae
Description: long non-coding RNA (SMIL_LNC012559)
Source: RNAcentral